AAAUGAAUAGACGGGGACCCGCACAAGCGGUGGAUGAUGUGGAUUAAUUCGAUGCAACGCGAAAAACCUUACCUACCCUUGACAUGCCAGGAACCGGCGAGAGAUUGCCGGGUGCCUUCGGGAGCCUGGACACAGGUGCUGCAUGGCUGUCGUCAGCUCGUGUCGUGAGAUGUUGGGUUAAGUCCCGCAACGAGCGCAACCCUUGUCACUAGUUGCCAUCAUUUGGUUGGGCACUCUAGUGAGACUGCCGGUGACAAACCGGAGGAAGGUGGGGAUGACGUCAAGUCCUCAUGGCCCUUAUGGGUAGGGCUUCACACGUCAUACAAUGGUCGGUACAGAGGGUUGCCAAGCCGCGAGGCGGAGCCAAUCCCAUAAAGCCGAUCGUAGUCCGGAUCGUAGUCUGCAACUCGACUACGUGAAGUCGGAAUCGCUAGUAAUCGUGGAUCAGAAUGUCACGGUGAAUACGUUCCCGGGUCUUGUACACACCGCCCGU
RNAcentral lists this ribosomal RNA (493 nucleotides) under uncultured bacterium. Its description in RNAcentral is "bacterial SSU rRNA". It matches the Rfam family "Bacterial small subunit ribosomal RNA", at positions 903 to 1397 of the family's 1533-position model. The record is from RNAcentral.